AAUGGCUAUGCCACCUCUGUGCAGAACAAAAUCAACAGAAAGACAGAGGUGCUAUUGUGUCUCCCUGAGACGUGGACUCCAGCUCCCUCUGCAAGCCCCCUCACCUACAGUCACCAAACCCAUGAUCAUGACUGCUUCAAAAAGUGAGUGUUGAUCUCGAUCCUGGGACACCCCAAGACUACUGGGAGAUUCCAUGGGUCCAAAGCCAGCCCCCUAUGGGCGAGCCCAGUGCUGCUGUGUUCCAAAGUCCCACUGAGCAUGUGACUCUCUGAAUCAGUCGUCUUCUGAUCUAGAAGGAAGGGGCAGUGCUGCAGACGUGGAACUUGCAAGGAGACAACAGGACGUUCACCCAUGUGACUCUGAACCAUUUCACCAGGAUCAUGAUCCUGCUGCAUCCAUUUACCUACAGGAGCCUCAUCUUCCCCAAAGUCAAAACGAUCACAGAAGGGAAAUGUCUUCAAUCAGCUCGGGACCUCAGAGCAGCCAGGACAGUGCAACUGAAGACUUUCAUGGCUUCAGAGCUGCCUCCAGAAGGGGCAAGCAUGAUGGGAUAAGAAUGUUUGACGUGGGGAUCGAUGACACUGUACCUUUUACUGUAAC
This is a long non-coding RNA of Cavia porcellus (domestic guinea pig), 600 nucleotides long. RefSeq lists it as uncharacterized. The record is from RefSeq and is a predicted model, not a curated record. The transcript is spliced from 3 exons. Lineage: Eukaryota; Metazoa; Chordata; Mammalia; Rodentia; Caviidae.